GCGGUCUCUAUCGCAACGCCGGAUUGGCUAAGCGGCGUCGGGAAGGUGUCCGCCGAUUGGUUGUGUCCGGGUGCUGUUGCUAUGACUCCGUUGCUAGGGCCUCGGCCGUCUCCAGGCCCUGCAGGAAACAUCUCAGGCCUUCACUAAUGGUUUCAAUAGCCUUUGGCUGAGGAGAGCUUCCCUGUGAGUGCCAUAUCUAUAACGUGCCUGCUUCACACAAGUGCGAAACUGGAUGUUGUUACUCACAGAUAACUCUCCAGCUGGAACUCCCCACAUGAACAAAGCCUCUGAUGUUUCAUACCUGAAUAAACAGGGAGAAGUAAAUCACUUAAGCAAGAGCUCUGAGAUGAAGAUGGCAUAUAUCCACCCUCCUGUGAUUCAGAGUAGAAUGACACCUUAUUUCUAGGAUUAUUAAACAAAAUAUUCUGUUGUGUAAAAACCAAUGAGCGCUAAAAAAAAUAAAAAAAUAAAAAAUUAAGAAAGUCUAUCAAAAACUGCAUACAGGAGGAGAAAACACUCUAAACUCUGGCCAUUAGGCAGUCCCUAAAAAAAGGUUCAGCUGCAAUGGCCCUUAUGUUUUAUUAUUUUCUAUUAUCAAAAUGUUUUCUGUUGAAUAAAAUGGUUAAGGCAAAACUGUACUGCCUAUCCCACCCAUUCCUGACAGAGCAUUCAUCAAACUCCAUUAGAAAAAAAAAUAAAUCCGGGCUAUAGAUGUGUCAUCAGAGACCCAAUGAUGCUGAGAAAUGUCUGAGAUGCAGUUUGCUGAAAACACUAUAUUAACAUUUGUGUAUAUGGAUGUGUUAAUUUUAUGAUUUUGGUUAUGUGCAACAUACAUUAAAAUGAAAAAUGUGUUAA
Long non-coding RNA from Pezoporus occidentalis (night parrot), 855 nucleotides. RefSeq lists it as uncharacterized. The transcript is spliced from 3 exons. NCBI's taxonomy places the organism in Eukaryota, Metazoa, Chordata, Aves, Psittaciformes, Psittacidae. The record is from RefSeq and is a predicted model, not a curated record.